GAUGAACGCUGGCGGCGUGCCUAAUACAUGCAAGUAGAACGCUGAAGGAGGAGCUUGCUCUUCUGGAUGAGUUGCGAACGGGUGAGUAACGCGUAGGUAACCUGCCUGGUAGCGGGGGAUAACUCUUGGAAACGAUAGCUAAUACCGCAUGACAACAGUUAUUGCAUGAUAACUGUUUAAAAGGGGCAACUGCUCCACUACCAGAUGGACCUGCGUUGUAUUAGCUAGUUGGUGAGGUAACGGCUCACCAAGGCGACGAUACAUAGCCGACCUGAGAGGGUGAUCGGCCACACUGGAACUGAGACACGGCCCAGACUCCUACGGGAGGCAGCAGUAGGGAAUCUUCGGCAAUGGACGGAAGUCUGACCGAGCAACGCCGCGUGAGUGAAGAAGGUUUUCGGAUCGUAAAGCUCUGUUGUAAGAGAAGAACGAGUGUGAGAGUGGAAAGUUCACACUGUGACGGUAUCUUACCAGAAAGGGACGGCUAACUACGU
Molecule: ribosomal RNA, 494 nt
Filed under: uncultured bacterium
Lineage: Bacteria
Description: partial 16S ribosomal RNA
Rfam family: Bacterial small subunit ribosomal RNA
Source: RNAcentral